Molecule: long non-coding RNA, 599 nt
Organism: Harmonia axyridis
Lineage: Eukaryota; Metazoa; Arthropoda; Insecta; Coleoptera; Coccinellidae
Exons: 2
Source: RefSeq, a predicted model, not a curated record
UCAAACUAAAAGCUGAAACAAGACGUUGUUCAUUGAAGUAUGUACAAUUGCCGUACGUCGUAUAAAUUAAUUCCAAGAAAGAAAUAUACCUCCUACUUCCAAAUUUCAAGAAUGCCGAAAAUAAAGAAGUUUUGUGUACCUGGAUGUACCGAUGAGACAAGUGUAAGACAUCGUUUCCCUAAGAGAAAUUUGGAUAUUUUCGAUAACUGGCUCUAAAUCAUCAAACCAAAAAAUUGGCAAGAAUUAAGUGGUGAAAAAAUAUAUUGUCAAGAAUUGGGGGACAUGGAUUUUAUUCAGGUACGGCAGUACAAAUAUGGAAAGUUGACAAAUCCUAGGCAGUGUGUAUCAUUUAAUUAUAUAAUUCCGCGAAUUUGUGAGAAGAAAAACAUUUCCCUCUAUUUAAAAUCGUUUUUGAUGAAAAAUUUAGAAUUCAAAAUAUUUAUUUAAUCGGAUUGGGGGAAAAAGUAUGUGAAACCAUUAUAAGGUGUUCCUUGCACUGGUGGUGCAAGCAGGUAAAUGAAAUUAUGAAUGGUACCGACACAAAAUUUUGUAAAUUCCUUCAAACUUCCCCUUGUGAAGAAUUUGUAGAUCCCAUCAAA